UGAACGCUAGCGACAGGCCUAACACAUGCAAGUCAGGGCAGCACAGAGCAAUCUGAGGUGGCGACCGGCGCACGGUGAGUAACACGUAUGCAACCUGCCUGUAAGCGGGGAAUAACCCGUUGAAAGACGGACUAAUACCGCAUAAUACUAAAUUACUGCAUGGUAAUUUAUUUUAAACAUUUAUGGCUUACAGAUGGGCAUGCGCAUGAUUAGCUAGUUGGAGAGGUAACGGCUCCCCAAGGCAACGAUCAUUAGGGGUUCUGAGAGGAAGGUCCCCCACACUGGUACUGAGACACGGACCAGACUCCUACGGGAGGCAGCAGUGAGGAAUAUUGGUCAAUGGACGAGAGUCUGAACCAGCCAAGUCGCGUGCAGGAAGAAUGUUCCCUAUGGAUUGUAAACUGCUUUUGCAGGGGAAUAAAGUGCAUCACGUGUGAUGUUUUGUAUGUACUCUGCGAAUAAGGAUCGGCUAACUCCGUGCCAGCCGCUGC
This 491-nucleotide ribosomal RNA is filed under the name uncultured bacterium. RNAcentral describes it as "bacterial SSU rRNA". It matches the Rfam family "Bacterial small subunit ribosomal RNA", at positions 30 to 518 of the family's 1533-position model. The record is from RNAcentral.